UAACCCCAACUAAAGAAACCACCCAAUUUUUUUUUAAAGAUCAGAACCAGUGGUUGGCCCUACUGUACCUAGAUCCAACUAUCAGGAUCCAACAUAUAGGCAUGGACCAUACCAUCAGUUUCAAAAUGCUUCGUAACCAUCUACCACUGGUCAUAGCUCAGCUUUCGAGGAGAAGGUUCUGAAAGUGCUAGAACGAUUAGAAGUCAACACCC
This 212-nucleotide long non-coding RNA is filed under the name Elaeis guineensis (African oil palm). Its description in RNAcentral is "long non-coding RNA (EGUI_LNC007809)". The record is from RNAcentral. Lineage: Eukaryota; Viridiplantae; Streptophyta; Magnoliopsida; Arecales; Arecaceae.